This is a long non-coding RNA of Thunnus maccoyii (southern bluefin tuna), 591 nucleotides long. RefSeq lists it as uncharacterized. The transcript is spliced from 3 exons. Lineage: Eukaryota; Metazoa; Chordata; Actinopteri; Scombriformes; Scombridae. The record is from RefSeq and is a predicted model, not a curated record.
UAAAGGGAGGGAGGGUAUGAGUAAAGGUAAAAGAAGAGAGGCACAAUUGAGUGAAAGGAGGAAGAAAGGGACAAUAAAAGAGAGAAAGGGCAUGGAGACAGUAAGAAGAAAAAGAUGGAGAGCAUAUAAUAGAGAGGAAAGGAAAGAAGGAAGCAGGUAAGAAUAGGAGAUGACCACACUGGAUGAUAAGGGAAACACCUCAUGUUUUUAUUAGGCCAUGUAAUCUACUUUCCUCUGUGUGAUCAUCCCUCUUCCUCAGGCCUCUGCACAGACUCCGCCCCGUUGGCAUCGUCCUGGCAACGGGCUGUCAGACUGAUGUUGCCGGGCGUGACUCGACGAGUUUGAAAGUCUGUCCUCUACAUGAGAGAGAGGAGGACCCCCAUUAUGGCCGCCAGAGGGUGCGUUACGUCACCUGAAAACCCUCUGCCCACUCUGGCUGCCGUGGUUGCCGGCAUCUCUUGCUGGACCAGCACCCAUCCUGGAACCGCUCUGCUUCCCUGGCUGUCGGUGCCAUUUCCUGAGGUUUUGGAUCUGGUUUCCCAUCCUGCAGGAGUUCAGCCUCACCUCAUGUCUCUCUCUCUCUGAAUGAUG